RNAcentral lists this unclassified non-coding RNA (239 nucleotides) under Hevea brasiliensis (rubber tree). Lineage: Eukaryota; Viridiplantae; Streptophyta; Magnoliopsida; Malpighiales; Euphorbiaceae. The record is from RNAcentral.
AGGAAAAUAACUCUUCUAGCUGGUUGCAGUGCUCAGACAUGGUUUCAAGCCCACCAUCACCUUGUAGAGUAUGCGUGAAAUCACUCUUAUACAGCUCAAUAGCUUCACUCAAUAGCUUCAUGAGUUCAUGCAUCUCUGUGUUUGUGUCGGAAGGGUGAGCAACUGCUGCAGCCCACCAAAAGAUAUUCCCAAGAGAAGCAUUAGACAUGGGUGGCUUAGUUUGUGGCCGGAGAUUCACU